GAACUUUCCAGAGAUGGAUUGGUGCCUUCGGGAACUGUGAGACAGGUGCUGCAUGGCUGUCGUCAGCUCGUGUUGUGAAAUGUUGGGUUAAGUCCCGCAACGAGCGCAACCCUUAUCCUUUGUUGCCAGCGGUCCGGCCGGGAACUCAAAGGAGACUGCCAGUGAUAAACUGGAGGAAGGUGGGGAUGACGUCAAGUCAUCAUGGCCCUUACGACCAGGGCUACACACGUGCUACAAUGGCGCAUACAAAGAGAAGCGACCUCGCGAGAGCAAGCGGACCUCAUAAAGUGCGUCGUAGUCCGGAUUGGAGUCUGCAACUCGACUCCAUGAAGUCGGAAUCGCUAGUAAUCGUGGAUCAGAAUGCCACGGUGAAUACGUUCCCGGGCCUUGUACACACCGCCCGUCACACCAUGGGAGUG
This 419-nucleotide ribosomal RNA is filed under the name Escherichia coli. RNAcentral describes it as "bacterial SSU rRNA". It matches the Rfam family "Bacterial small subunit ribosomal RNA", at positions 993 to 1412 of the family's 1533-position model. RNAcentral also lists the same sequence under 3 other names. The record is from RNAcentral. Lineage: Bacteria; Pseudomonadati; Pseudomonadota; Gammaproteobacteria; Enterobacterales; Enterobacteriaceae.